Molecule: ribosomal RNA, 580 nt
Filed under: Lactobacillus sp.
Lineage: Bacteria; Bacillati; Bacillota; Bacilli; Lactobacillales; Lactobacillaceae
Description: bacterial SSU rRNA
Rfam family: Bacterial small subunit ribosomal RNA
Source: RNAcentral
CAGUAGGGAUCUUCCACAAUGGACGAAAGUCUGAUGGAGCAACGCCGCGUGAGUGAAGAAGGUUUUCGGAUCGUAAAACUCUGUUGUUGGAGAAGAAUGUAUCUGAUAGUAACUGAUCAGGUAGUGACGGUAUCCAACCAGAAAGCCACGGCUAACUACGUGCCAGCAGCCGCGGUAAUACGUAGGUGGCAAGCGUUGUCCGGAUUUAUUGGGCGUAAAGCGAGCGCAGGCGGUUUCUUAAGUCUGAUGUGAAAGCCUUCGGCUCAACCGAAGAAGUGCAUCGGAAACUGGGAAACUUGAGUGCAGAAGAGGACAGUGGAACUCCAUGUGUAGCGGUGAAAUGCGUAGAUAUAUGGAAGAACACCAGUGGCGAAGGCGGCUGUCUGGUCUGUAACUGACGCUGAGGCUCGAAAGCAUGGGUAGCAAACAGGAUUAGAUACCCUGGUAGUCCAUGCCGUAAACGAUGAGUGCUAGGUGUUGGAGGGUUUCCGCCCUUCAGUGCCGCAGCUAACGCAUUAAGCACUCCGCCUGGGGAGUACGACCGCAAGGUUGAAACUCAAAGGAAUUGACGGGGCCAGCC